RNAcentral lists this long non-coding RNA (2268 nucleotides) under Oryza sativa (Asian cultivated rice). Its description in RNAcentral is "long non-coding RNA (OSAT_LNC000770)". The record is from RNAcentral. Lineage: Eukaryota; Viridiplantae; Streptophyta; Magnoliopsida; Poales; Poaceae.
AUGAAUUCUGACUCGCUGUGCUGUUUCAUUAGACAAGGUAAUCUAGUCGAGCAUAGAAAAUGGGGAAAAAAUCACAGCAAGAACAGUCAAUCACAUAAAUGGGAUGUUUACGAGUCUGUCAUCACAGGUUAGCUGAACUAACCAAUUGGUACUGCUGCUCCCACGUUGCAACAUAAUGAGGUCGCCUUCCAUGGACACUCUACUAUCUCUGAAAAAGACAUUAUGUAAUUGAAAAAGGUAUGCAAUUUUCAAAUUAGGACGAGAUAUAGUAUUUGAAAUUGUUGAAAAAAACGCUGUUGAUGAUGCCAUGCAAUGAAUAGCGAUUAAUUUUGGCAUCCGUCAUUCUUAUCUCUUCAUAAUAUACAUCCAUCUGAAAUACGUGCUGUGUGACGCAGCAACCUACCUUAAUUGCUUCUCUAGUCAACUUUGCCAAGCUGAUAUAUUUAUGUUCACUUGAUAAAGACAUCUCAGAUUAAGUCCAGAUCUUCAUAAUCACACAUAGAGACCAGCCAUUCUACAAGUUGAUUCAAAUCAUAUCAGAAGGGCAGAGAGCAAUAACAAAUAAAGAUGGAAAAAAAAUGUGCAUGAAAAAUUAGAUGUCCCUUGGUCCCUGUUGACUGGUAACGGCAAACUUGUCAAUUUUAUUCAUCAAUCAACGAAAACAACAGUGUCUCUAGCUGUAUUCUAGUAUUUUAAUGACAAGACAACUGAAAAGGAAUGGCCCAGCCAAUAAAAUACAAAACUGAAUGGCAAAAAGAUUAAGAAAAGGUAACUAGAACUAAAUUGCAGGCCGAAUAUAUUAUGACUUAGCCUAAAAAAAAUGUGGCUAACCGAUAUAAUUGAUAUAUUUGUGAGAUUACUUGCACUCGCCUUGUCCUGAACAACUAGAGGACACAUCAUUUAAACAUAAAUACUCCUGCAACAUAAGGACAUAGCUAAUUGCAAAGAAUUGCAAUACCAGUCAGGAACCCAACAAUGCAAAACAGACAAAGAAAGCAUUACCCAUGGUUCUCCACUUUUGUGGAACUAAGUUCAUGGUCCAAAAAUAGAGUAGGCAAGAGAAACAUGAGAUCGAAGACAAAUGAGGCUUGAGGGGGUCACUAAAAACAGAGAUAAACUGCAUUUGUACACUUGUGUUGAGUUCAUGGAUCUCCUGAACUCCAUAGAAAAUCAGCAUUCAGUAUGCAGAAAACGCAAGAACUGGUAUAUUGAUCCAAAAAUGCUAAAUCGAGUGCAAAUUACGAAGCUCAACAAAGUCUUUUUUUUUCUUUCAUGCUGAUGCACUUUUGUCUUUCGGUGCAUUCUUAUAAAAGGAAGAACAAGCAGAAUAUAGAUUCCAUCCUAAUACCAGUAACAGGGAUGAGCAUGACUGCUACAUAAGCAUAGAGAAGACCAGAAAUGAACCAAUGAGCAUUCAUUCUGUUGCUCUGUUCUAAUAAACUUUAUUAGCUUCCUAUUGUGGGACAUCAUCAGGACAACACCUUCAACACUGUAAAUUGGCGGAAAAUUCUUCUGAAUCAUGGAGCUAGCAAAAGUGAGUUAUGACAUCACCACCAAUUGUGCUCAACUUGUGCAAUGCACACAACCGAAAAAGUGGGGAAAAACAUUAUGAGUGCCCAUGAAUAUUCGUAAGGCCCAUACAUUGAAUUGGAUGAAUGAAUAGACUCAACAUUACCACAUUACGAAUAUGAAGAGUCCGAAUAUCAAUGAUUGAAGUUGUGUCGCUGUAUGCAAUACAGCAUAAACAUUCCAUCUCCAAACAUCUCAAAGCUAGACACAACAAAAUCAAGUUUCACAACUUACAGUUCCUGGUUGGAUAAGAAUGAAUCUUUCAGAUGACCGAAGAAACCUGCAGCAAUCCACCAUCCAUCCAGCAGGAUCUAUGGUAUAACGCAUCAAAAUUGGUUAAACGGGCAUACGAAAGCGACUCCAAAACGUCGAAUCCAACAAAACCCCCAGAUAUUACCGGGCACCCUCUUUUCUACUACCUAAAGCUAAAACUAAAAGCAACUCAGCAUUGACCCCCAAAUCAAAAUUUUAGGUGAAAAAAAAAACCUGCCCUAAAUUACCGCCUCGGAUCGGAGACCAAAUAACACGGCGCUAAUCCGGAAUCGCCCGGGACUCCUGGAGCAAGCCCAUCCGCAGAAGAAUGGCUACUAGAUGGAGUUGCUUGCUCGAAUUACCUAGUUAGAAGAAGCCGAGAAGACGAGCACUUCCGCUUCGAUUCGUCUUUUGAUUUUCGAAGCGAAAACCCCAGGAAUAAAGUCG